Molecule: RNA transcript, 2125 nt
Organism: Sorghum bicolor (sorghum)
Lineage: Eukaryota; Viridiplantae; Streptophyta; Magnoliopsida; Poales; Poaceae
Gene name: protein-tyrosine-phosphatase PTP1
Exons: 10
Source: RefSeq, a predicted model, not a curated record
AUUUUCUUCUCUGUAAAUAAAAAAAAUAUUACGGGAGGAGAAUUUUGUUCAAUUUCUAUUCAUUUAUUUAUUAUUAUUAUAUCCAGGUCCACGACCACGACGCUACGCCACCGCGAUCUACGCCGACGUCUCCGGCGGACCUUCGCGCGCCCUCCGCUCCCCUCUACCACCACCGCUGCCGCGACCCCGCCUCCGGAGCAUCCUCGUUCUGGCUUCCCGCGCCGGCGGACGUCCUGGUGGCGGAGGCGGCCUCCGUGGCCUGUUGAUGAGGGCCGCCACCGCUCUCCCUCGCCGAUCGGCCCGGGCCCCGGAGCCGGGGUCCUCCUCCUCCCGGGCUCUUGCCCACGGAGCCGCCUUCAAUCCCUUCGACGUCGAUACCGACCCGCCGCCGCGGCCUGAGCUGUCGCCCGAGCAGAUCGGGCUUUGCAGUGACGCGCUCGCGCGCUUCGAGGACAAGGGGAAACGCCCAGAUGGCUUGUCCGACGAGUACAGAAAACUCUCGGGUAUUAGACAUAUGAAAACGAUCAGUGUAGCUCAUUAUCCUGUUAAUAGAGGAAAGAACCGAUAUAUUGAUGUCUUACCAUUUGAUGAUACCAGAGUACGGCUCUCAGCACGACCUCCAAACAAUGAUUACAUCAACGCAAGCUUUAUAAAGGCUACUGAGAACAACAGAGUUGCACCAUUUAUUUCUACACAAGGUCCACUAGUGAAGACAUUUGGAGAUUUCUGGGAAAUGGUUCAUGAAUAUCAGUGCCCUGCAAUUGUCAUGCUCACUCAAUUUGACAGUAUUAAGUGUGAUAAAUAUCUUCCACUGGAAAGUGGACGACAAAAAUAUGGGAAUUACGAUAUCAAGAUUACGAAGACAAGAACAGAUAGCCACCACUUACAGUUGCGUGAUGUCAAGGUGCAAAACAAUGAGUCAGGCGAGGUUCAUUCUGUACUCCAUAUAGUAUAUCCUGAUUGGCCCGACCAUGGAGUGCCAACUAAUACCGAUGCUGUACGACAAAUCUGGAAACGACUGCAUCACAUUCCAACGGAACAUCCUAUAGUUAUCCAUUGCAGUGCAGGUAUUGGAAGAACUGGUGCUUACAUCACAAUCCAUACUACGAUUGAGAGAAUUCUCCUUGGAGAUAAAAGCUCAUACGAUCUUGUUGAAACUGUAAAGAAUUUUAGAUCCCAACGAACUGGAAUGGUCCAAACAGAGUCUGUUUUAGACUUUCACCUAAAAGAUAUCCCAUGUCCAGCAUAAUUUCAGCACAUGAAACAGAGCCUUGAAAAAGUGGCGCUCACAUUACAAUUUACAGAACAGUUAUCAGUAGUUUCAGAUGGACCUUUUCAUAAGCAUAUUUCUACUCUUCAGGAACAAUACAAGUUCUGCUACCAGGCAAUUGCUGACGAGCUGAAAGACCUGCUAAAUUCAGAUCAUUGAGCUGUAGGAAGAUCUGCAGUGCUGUUGGUUAUUCGGAAUGGCCGUAUUUCUGUGUGCACCAUUUUUUGUGUGGAUCUCUUGAUAAUUGAUCGGCUGCGUCAAGAUCAUGAUGGCACCAUUAUUCCAACAUGAACUCCACUAGAUUGUUACCACCACCUACUUGAGUGUAAAGAACCAUAGGAAGCUUCAUUUGUGAGCUUUUUUUGUAUAUGAACAAAACAAUGUUUGGAACUGAGCUGUCAUUUGCCAGGCAAUUUGAUUCCAUGCUUUGAGGUUCAAAUUGAUCUGUGGGUGUGGGUGUGGGUGUGUGUGUGGGUGUUUUGAGUAGCUCCAGAAUUUACUGAUUGGCUUGGCUUCAGAGGUCUUCAAUCUUGGCAUGCAGCGUUGCAUCAAUAUCUCCCAUCCGCAUUUCUCCUCCUUUGCUGUUACUCUAUAUUAUUUUGUUUCGGAAACAUUUUUUUGUAGAGAAGAUAGUGAGGCAAUGCCAAGUGUACGCCUAUAUUUAGAGGGCUCCAGAUUCGAUGGGCCCCAGGAGGGAUGUAAACCGCUGCUAACAUGGCCACAGCAUGUGGCUUUUGGUGGAGGGCGGCAUCAGUAGUUUGAGAAGCCAAGCUUCAGAAGCAGAAAAGUUGUAACCUAUUGUUGAAUUGAGAUUUUAUCUCAAUAUUGACUUUAAUGAUUGAUUGCAUUUGUCAA